This 497-nucleotide ribosomal RNA is filed under the name uncultured bacterium. RNAcentral describes it as "partial 16S ribosomal RNA". It matches the Rfam family "Bacterial small subunit ribosomal RNA", at positions 28 to 507 of the family's 1533-position model. The record is from RNAcentral.
GAUGAACGCUGGCGGCGUGCCUAAUACAUGCAAGUCGAGCGAACAGACGAGGAGCUUGCUCCUCUGACGUUAGCGGCGGACGUGUGAGUAACACGUGGAUAACCUACCUAUAAGACUGGGAUAACUUCGGGAAACCGGAGCUAAUACCGGAUAAUAUAUUGAACCGCAUGGUUCAAUAGUGAAAUACGGUUUUGCUGUCACUUAUAGAUGGAUCCGCGCCGCAUUAGCUAGUUGGUAAGGUAACGGCUUACCAAGGCAACGAUGCGUAGCCGACCUGAGAGGGUGAUCGGCCACACUGGAACUGAGACACGGUCCAGACUCCUACGGGAGGCAGCAGUAGGGAAUCUUCCGCAAUGGGCGAAAGCCUGACGGAGCAACGCCGCGUGAGUGAUGAAGGUCUUCGGAUCGUAAAACUCUGUUAUUAGGGAAGAACAAAUGUGUAAGUAACUAUGCACGUCUUGACGGUACCUAAUCAGAAAGCCACGGCUAACUACGUG